ACAGCUAUUUUAUCGUGGUGCGCC
This 24-nucleotide non-coding RNA is filed under the name Arabidopsis thaliana (thale cress). The record is from RNAcentral. Lineage: Eukaryota; Viridiplantae; Streptophyta; Magnoliopsida; Brassicales; Brassicaceae.